Molecule: microRNA precursor, 61 nt
Filed under: Ornithorhynchus anatinus (platypus)
Lineage: Eukaryota; Metazoa; Chordata; Mammalia; Monotremata; Ornithorhynchidae
Description: Oan-Mir-34-P3c_pre stem-loop
Source: RNAcentral
UGGCAGUGUUUGUUAGCUGGUUGAAUAUUUAAAUGGCACCAGCUGACAGACAGCUGCUUUC